GACUAGCCGUAACCAACAUAGCAAGUAGACGAGAACCUUCGGGUCUAGUGGCGCACGGGUGCGUAACGCGUGGGAAUCUGCCCUGGGGUGCGGAAUAACUCGGAGAAAUCCGUGCUAAUACCGCAUAAUGUCUUCGGACCAAAGAUUUAUCGCCCUGGGAUGAGCCCGCGUAGGAUUAGCUAGUUGGUGGGGUAAAGGCCUACCAAGGCGACGAUCCUUAGCUGGUCUGAGAGGAUGAUCAGCCACACUGGGACUGAGACACGGCCCAGACUCCUACGGGAGGCAGCAGUGGGAAUAUUGGACAAUGGGCGAAAGCCCUGAUCCAGCAAUGCCGCGUGAGUGAUGAAGGCCCUAGGGUUGUAAAGCUCUUUACCCGGGAUGAUAAUGACGGUACCGGGAGAAUAAGCUCCGGCUAACUCCGUG
This 423-nucleotide ribosomal RNA is filed under the name uncultured bacterium. RNAcentral describes it as "bacterial SSU rRNA". It matches the Rfam family "Bacterial small subunit ribosomal RNA", at positions 35 to 507 of the family's 1533-position model. The record is from RNAcentral.